UUGAGAGCGGCGGACGGGUGAGUAAUGCCUAGGAAUCUGCCUGGUAGUGGGGGAUAACGCUCGGAAACGGACGCUAAUACCGCAUACGUCCUACGGGAGAAAGCAGGGGACCUUCGGGCCUUGCGCUAUCAGAUGAGCCUAGGUCGGAUUAGCUAGUUGGUGAGGUAAUGGCUCACCAAGGCGACGAUCCGUAACUGGUCUGAGAGGAUGAUCAGUCACACUGGAACUGAGACACGGUCCAGACUCCUACGGGAGGCAGCAGUGGGGAAUAUUGGACAAUGGGCGAAAGCCUGAUCCAGCCAUGCCGCGUGUGUGAAGAAGGUCUUCGGAUUGUAAAGCACUUUAAGUUGGGAGGAAGGGCAGUAAAUUAAUACUUUGCUGUUUUGACGUUACCGACAGAAUAAGCACCGGCUAACUCUGUGCCAGCAGCCGCGGUAAUACAGAGGGUGCAAGCGUUAAUCGGAAUUACUGGGCGUAAAGCGCGCGUAGGUGGUUUGUUAAG
Molecule: ribosomal RNA, 502 nt
Filed under: Pseudomonas sp.
Lineage: Bacteria; Pseudomonadati; Pseudomonadota; Gammaproteobacteria; Pseudomonadales; Pseudomonadaceae
Description: bacterial SSU rRNA
Rfam family: Bacterial small subunit ribosomal RNA
Source: RNAcentral